RNAcentral lists this ribosomal RNA (306 nucleotides) under Triticum aestivum (bread wheat). RNAcentral's name for it is "partial small subunit ribosomal RNA". The record is from RNAcentral. Lineage: Eukaryota; Viridiplantae; Streptophyta; Magnoliopsida; Poales; Poaceae.
AUGGUCGCCCUUGGCGUUGCUCUGUGCAGGUCUAGGUAUCCCGAGGGGACUCGCUCAUCAUCCCGUGGAUUCGAGAGGCCGGUCAUCCAGGACGUCCGCGCACGACCCAAUUUCGUGGAGAGCACCUCCGGAAGAAGGGGUCUCCAGAUGGUAGGAUGGGCUCUGCUACAUGUAAAUGGUUCUGGCAUUUCCCAUCAGUCUCCUCCCUGCCGUCAUCGUCCUUCCUGCUGCCAGCUCCGCCCUUCUCCGCCUUGUCUCCACGGCAACGAUUCUGCUCCAUCCAUCGAGGUGGAGGCUGGCCUGUAG